GCGACGAUCUAUAGCUGGUCUGAGAGGAUGAUCAGCCACACUGGGACUGAGACACGGCCCAGACUCCUACGGGAGGCAGCAGUGGGGAAUCUUGCACAAUGGGCGAAAGCCUGAUGCAGCCAUGCCGCGUGAAUGAUGAAGGCCCUAGGGUUGUAAAAUUCUUUCAUCAGGGACGAUAAUGACGGUACCUGAAGAAGAAGCCCCGGCUAACUUCGUGCCAGCAGCCGCGGUAAUACGAAGGGGGCUAGCGUUGUUCGGAAUUACUGGGCGUAAAGCGCGCGUAGGCGGACUAUUAAGCCAGAUGUGAAAUCCCGGGGCUCAACCUCGGAACUGCAUUUGGAACUGGUAGUCUAGAGGCCAGGAGAGGUUAGUGGAAUGCCGAGUGUAGAGGUGAAAUUCGUAGAUAUUCGGUGGAACACCAGUGGCGAAGGCGACUGACUGGACUGGUACUGACGCUGAGGUGCGAAAGUGUGGGGAGCCAACAGGAUUAGAUACCCUGGUAGUCCACACCGUAAACGAUGAGUGCUAGUUGUCGGCAGGCAUGCCUGUCGGUGACGCAGCUAACGCAUUAAGCACUCCGCCUGGGGAGUACGGCCGCAAUGUUACAACUCAACAGAAAUUGACGGGGGGCCGGCACAAGCGGUGGAGCCAUGUGGGUUUAAUUCGAAGCGAACGCGCAGAACCUUACCUACCCCCUUGACAUGCCCAGGUUUGGUCGCCAGAGAUGGCUUCCUUGAUUCGUUCGCCGGUGCACAGGUGCUGCAUGGCUGUCGUCAGCUCGUGUCGUGAGAUGUUGGGUUAAGUCCCGCAACGAGCGCAACCCUCAUCCUUAGUUGCCAUCAGGUUUGGCUGGGCACUCUAAGGAAACUGCCGGUGGCAAGCCGGAGGAAGGUGGGGAUGACGUCAAGUCCUCAUGACCCUUACGGGUAGGGCUACACACGUGCUACAAUGGCAGUGACAAUGGGAUAAUCCCCAAAAACUGUCUCAGUUCGGAUUGUCGUCUGCAACUCGACGGCAUGAAGUUGGAAUCGCUAGUAAUCGUGGAUCAGCAUGCCACGGUGAAUACGUUCCCGGGCAUUGUACACACCGCCCGUCACAUCA
This 1101-nucleotide ribosomal RNA is filed under the name uncultured organism. RNAcentral's name for it is "bacterial SSU rRNA". It matches the Rfam family "Bacterial small subunit ribosomal RNA", at positions 273 to 1404 of the family's 1533-position model. The record is from RNAcentral.